This 719-nucleotide ribosomal RNA is filed under the name Bacillus amyloliquefaciens. RNAcentral describes it as "bacterial SSU rRNA". It matches the Rfam family "Bacterial small subunit ribosomal RNA", at positions 672 to 1391 of the family's 1533-position model. The record is from RNAcentral. RNAcentral also lists the same sequence under 1 other name. Lineage: Bacteria; Bacillati; Bacillota; Bacilli; Caryophanales; Bacillaceae.
CGUGUAGCGGUGAAAUGCGUAGAGAUGUGGAGGAACACCAGUGGCGAAGGCGACUCUCUGGUCUGUAACUGACGCUGAGGAGCGAAAGCGUGGGGAGCGAACAGGAUUAGAUACCCUGGUAGUCCACGCCGUAAACGAUGAGUGCUAAGUGUUAGGGGGUUUCCGCCCCUUAGUGCUGCAGCUAACGCAUUAAGCACUCCGCCUGGGGAGUACGGUCGCAAGACUGAAACUCAAAGGAAUUGACGGGGGCCCGCACAAGCGGUGGAGCAUGUGGUUUAAUUUGAAGCAACGCGAAGAACCUUACCAGGUCUUGACAUCCUCUGACAAUCCUAGAGAUAGGACGUCCCCUUCGGGGGCAGAGUGACAGGUGGUGCAUGGUUGUCGUCAGCUCGUGUCGUGAGAUGUUGGGUUAAGUCCCGCAACGAGCGCAACCCUUGAUCUUAGUUGCCAGCAUUCAGUUGGGCACUCUAAGGUGACUGCCGGUGACAAACCGGAGGAAGGUGGGGAUGACGUCAAAUCAUCAUGCCCCUUAUGACCUGGGCUACACACGUGCUACAAUGGACAGAACAAAGGGCAGCGAAACCGCGAGGUUAAGCCAAUCCCACAAAUCUGUUCUCAGUUCGGAUCGCAGUCUGCAACUCGACUGCGUGAAGCUGGAAUCGCUAGUAAUCGCGGAUCAGCAUGCCGCGGUGAAUACGUUCCCGGGCCUUGUACACACC